RNAcentral lists this long non-coding RNA (840 nucleotides) under Cricetulus griseus (Chinese hamster). Its description in RNAcentral is "lncRNA (ENSCGRG00015041314.1)". The record is from RNAcentral. Lineage: Eukaryota; Metazoa; Chordata; Mammalia; Rodentia; Cricetidae.
CAGCCAGAGAGGAAAGCCACCCUCCACCCCUUUAAAUCUAACCAGCAAGGCAGAUGAUUGUCACGAAAACACAGCUACCUUACUGCAACAGGAAAGCUCCCCAUGGCUCUACGUGUUUAAGCGAUGCCCUCAACAUGCACGGGCAGCCCAUCAGUACUUGAAAGCUUGGAAGGCUUGGACUGAGUGGAAGGGACACCCGUUUUAAGGCUUCAUGGCACUCGAGUGGCUGCUUCAAGAAGAUGGUUUGAAUGGAGCCUUCGGGAAAUCGUAAUGACUGACACCAGCCUAAACGAGCUGAAGAACCACAAGAAACAGCCUCUCUCUAGGAGAGUACUGAAUGACAUCAGUGUGUGUGUGUGUGUGUGUUUACACAUAGUCUUCACUGCUUUGAAAGUUUUUCUCUGUGCCGGGGUGGGGUGGGAUAGGGAAGAUGGGGGGCCUGGGGGUAAGAGUUGGGGGGGGGGGAAUCCCUAGUGCUCUCUGCUCAACUUCUCCAUUUUAAUUAUACAUCUUAGCAACACCUGCCUAGAAAACAUUCUGCCAUAGUCAAGAUGGGUGUUCCCUAGUCACUUAACAUUCUCAAGACAACCCCCCACAGGCAUGCCCUGAAGCCCAUCUCUCAGAGAAACACCAUCAAGGAUUAAAAGCCAAACCACAGCCAGUCUGGCGUGUCAGGGGCCGCUGCAUCUUAACUACAAGUCAAAGGCUGAGCAAAUUGAAAAAGCAAAAAUGAAGAAAGUGAUGCCCCGGAGCAAACCUCCAUCUUCCAGGCGCAAGAGACAGGCAAAUGGAUAUACAAACUACGGAAUGUCUACACCAUGGACUAUUAGUAAUAAAGAG